AUUGAACGCUGGCGGCGUGCCUAACACAUGCAAGUCGAACGACAAGACGAGGAGCUUGCUCUUCUGGCGUUUGCCGCGGGCGGGUGAAUAACACGUGGAUAACCUCCCUAUUAGACUAGGGUCCCUUCGAAGCCCCGUUGAUACUACAGGCUAAUAUCUUAUAAAGCAUGGUUCACUACUGACCUCCCGCUUUGCUGUUAGUUGUAGAUUGAUCCGCGCCGGAUUAGCUAGUUGGUAAGGUAACGGCUUACCAAGGCGACGAUGAGUAGCCGACCUGAGAGGGUGACCGGCCACACUGGAACUGAGACACGGUCCAGACUCCUACGGGAGGCAGCAGUAGGGAAUUUUGGGCAAUGGGCGAAAGCCUGAUGGAGCAACGCCGCGUGAGUGAUGAAGGCCUUCGGAUCGUAAAACACUUUUAUUAGGGAAGAACAAAUUGGUAAUAAUCCAGUCGCGGGAUGACGGUACCGAAAGAGAAAGCCACGGCUAACUACGUG
This 497-nucleotide ribosomal RNA is filed under the name uncultured bacterium. Its description in RNAcentral is "partial 16S ribosomal RNA". It matches the Rfam family "Bacterial small subunit ribosomal RNA", at positions 30 to 507 of the family's 1533-position model. The record is from RNAcentral.